CGGGGUGCACCAGGCGCGAAAACUUUGCAAUGCGGGAAACCGUGACAAGGGAACUCUGAGUGCCCGUAAAAUCGGGCUGUCCAUCGGUUUAAAUAACCGGUGAAGAAAGGGCCGGGCAAGACCGGUGCCAGCCGCCGCGGUAAUACCGGCGGCUCGAGUGGUGGCCACUAUUACUGGGCUUAAAGCGUUCGUAGCUGGUCUGUUAAGUCUCUGGGGAAAUCUUCCGGCUUAACCGGAAGGCGUCUCAGGGAUACUGGCAGACUAGGGACCGGGAGAGGUGAGAGGUACUCCAGGGGUAGGAGUGAAAUCCUGUAAUCCUUGGGGGACCACCUGUGGCGAAGGCGUCUCACCAGAACGGCUCCGACAGUGAGGGACGAAAGCUGGGGGAGCAAACCGGAUUAGAUACCCGGGUAGUCCCAGCUGUAAACGAUGCGCGUUAGGUGUAUCGGUGACCACGAGUCACCGAGGUGCCGAAGAGAAAUCGUGAAACGUGCCGCCUGGGAAGUACGGUCGCAAGGCUGAAACUUAAAGGAAUUGGCGGGGG
RNAcentral lists this ribosomal RNA (544 nucleotides) under uncultured archaeon. Its description in RNAcentral is "bacterial SSU rRNA". It matches the Rfam family "Archaeal small subunit ribosomal RNA", at positions 326 to 874 of the family's 1478-position model. The record is from RNAcentral.